UGUUAACCAUCUAUUAUUUAUUUAUACAAUAUAUUUUUGUUAUCUGUGUUAAAGAAAAUGUAAGUUGUGUUCUAUUGGAAUAGGAGAAGUUUGGUACGCUUCUUUGUGGUGUUUUGUUUCACCCACUACCUGUGAACAUGGUCGGCCUGGCGGGUUGUCUAAGCCGGCCCACCAAUGUACUGUGGGUUGUUGUGUUGGGUGGUCCUCUGUGCUACAGACGGAGAAUGUAGGGACGCCCUGGACCUCAUGUCGGUUGGUGUGUUGGUUGGUCCUCCGUGCUACAGACAGAGUUGUGAGGACGCCCUGGACUGGAUGAUAGUUGGGGUGACAUGUCAGGUGUGCUACGGGGAUUCGAAGAGCGUCAGUGUGGGCCACUGAAGUGAGUACAUUAUGGGAAUUUAUUGAGUAUUAUGAGUGAUAUACAAGUGAAGUUUAGUUGGAUUUUGUAUACUGAUUGUUGCUUUAUUUUUAUAUUUGGGAUAUGAUUGUAACGGAUGUCAGAAUCUCUACAUGAAGUGUUAUUUUCUUGGUACCAUUGUGAGGGAUUGAACUGGGUGUACUAUGAUAUGUGGAUGUGUAUUGAUUUGCCCAU
Scylla paramamosain (green mud crab) is the source of this 592-nucleotide long non-coding RNA. RefSeq lists it as uncharacterized. The transcript is spliced from 3 exons. The record is from RefSeq and is a predicted model, not a curated record. Lineage: Eukaryota; Metazoa; Arthropoda; Malacostraca; Decapoda; Portunidae.